RNAcentral lists this ribosomal RNA (507 nucleotides) under uncultured Glomeromycotina. RNAcentral's name for it is "SSU rRNA". It matches the Rfam family "Eukaryotic small subunit ribosomal RNA", at positions 569 to 1078 of the family's 1831-position model. The record is from RNAcentral. Lineage: Eukaryota; Fungi; Glomeromycota.
AGCAGCCGCGGUAAUUCCAGCUCCAAUAGCGUAUAUUAAAGUUGCUGCAGUUAAAAAGCUCGUAGUUGAAUUUCGGGACCAUCAUGUCGGUCGUGCCUCGGUACGUACUGGCAUUGUUGGUUUCUCCCUUCUGACGAACCACGAUGUCAUUUAUUUGGUGUUGUGGGGAAUCAGGACUGUUACUUUGAAAAAAUUAGAGUGUUUAAAGCAGGCUCACGCUUGAAUACAUUAGCAUGGAAUAAUGAAAUAGGACGUUUGAUUCUAUUUUGUUGGUUUCUAGGAUCGACGUAAUGAUUAAUAGGGAUAGUUGGGGGCAUUAGUAUUCAAUUGUCAGAGGUGAAAUUCUUGGAUUUAUUGAAGACUAACUACUGCGAAAGCAUUUGCCAAGGAUGUUUUCAUUAAUCAAGAACGAAAGUUAGGGGAUCGAAGACGAUCAGAUACCGUCGUAGUCUUAACCAUAAACUAUGCCGACUAGGGAUCGGAUGAUGUUAAUUUUUUAAUGACUCA